RNAcentral lists this ribosomal RNA (465 nucleotides) under Vreelandella stevensii. RNAcentral describes it as "partial 16S ribosomal RNA". It matches the Rfam family "Bacterial small subunit ribosomal RNA", at positions 338 to 795 of the family's 1533-position model. The record is from RNAcentral. Lineage: Bacteria; Pseudomonadati; Pseudomonadota; Gammaproteobacteria; Oceanospirillales; Halomonadaceae.
CCUACGGGUGGCAGCAGUGGGGAAUAUUGGACAAUGGGCGAAAGCCUGAUCCAGCCAUGCCGCGUGUGUGAAGAAGGCCUUCGGGUUGUAAAGCACUUUCAGUGGGGAAGAAAGCCUUGGGGCUAAUACCCUCGAGGAAGGACAUCACCCACAGAAGAAGCACCAGCUAACUCCGUGCCAGCAGCCGCGGUAAUACGGAGGGUGCGAGCGUUAAUCGGAAUUACUGGGCGUAAAGCGCGCGUAGGCGGUCUGAUAAGCCGGUUGUGAAAGCCCCGGGCUCAACCUGGGAACGGCAUCCGGAACUGUCAGGCUAGAGUGCAGGAGAGGAAGGUAGAAUUCCCGGUGUAGCGGUGAAAUGCGUAGAGAUCGGGAGGAAUACCAGUGGCGAAGGCGGCCUUCUGGACUGACACUGACGCUGAGGUGCGAAAGCGUGGGUAGCAAACAGGAUUAGAUACCCUGGUAGUC